AAGUCGUAACAAGGUUUCCGUAGGUGAACCUGCGGAAGGAUCAUUAACGAGCAUGAAUUGCACGAUUAGAGUUGAGCUGGUUAACCUAGUUAGCAAGUGCUCAUUCUAAUCGACAAAUCCACUCAUUACUUAACACCUGUGAACUUAUCUAUUAUAAACAUUAUAAUAUGUCAUUGGAACGUUUGAUUAUAAUAAGUUAAUACAACUUUCAACAACGGAUCUCUUGGCUCUC
RNAcentral lists this unclassified non-coding RNA (232 nucleotides) under air metagenome. RNAcentral's name for it is "partial contains small subunit ribosomal RNA, internal transcribed spacer 1, and 5.8S ribosomal RNA". The stretch from base 1 to 46 matches the Rfam family "Eukaryotic small subunit ribosomal RNA", at positions 1786 to 1831 of the family's 1831-position model. The record is from RNAcentral.